ACGCAGUAGGAUAGGCGAAGCGUACGAUUGGAUUGCACGUCUAAGCAGUAAGGCUGAGUAUUAGGCAAAUCCGGUACUCGUUAAGGCUGAGCUGUGAUGGGGAGAAGACAUUGUGUCUUCGAGUCGUUGAUUUCACACUGCCGAGAAAAGCCUCUAGAUAGAAAAUAGGUGCCCGUACCGCAAACCGACACAGGUAGUCAAGAUGAGAAUUCUAAGGUGAGCGAGCGAACUCUCGUUAAGGAACUCGGCAAAAUGACCCCGUAACUUCGGGAGAAGGGGUGCUCUUUAGGGUUAACGCCCAGAAGAGCCGCAGUGAAUAGGCCCAAGCGACUGUUUAUCAAAAACACAGGUCUCUGCUAAACCGUAAGGUGAUGUAUAGGGGCUGACGCCUGCCCGGUGCUGGAAGGUUAAGAGGAGUGGUUAGCUUCUGCGAAGCUACGAAUCGAAGCCCCAGUAAACGGCGGCCGUAACUAUAACGGUCCUAAGGUAGCGAAAUUCCUUGUCGGGUAAGUUCCGACCCGCACGAAAGGCGUAACGAUUUGGGCACUGUCUCAACGAGAGACUCGGUGAAAUCAUAGUACCUGUGAAGAUGCAGGUUACCCGCGACAGGACGGAAAGACCCCGUGGAGCUUUACUGUAGCCUGAUAUUGAAAUUCGGCACAGCUUGUACAGGAUAGGUAGGAGCCUUUGAAACGUGAGCGCUAGCUUACGUGGAGGCGCUGGUGGGAUACUACCCUAGCUGUGUU
RNAcentral lists this ribosomal RNA (746 nucleotides) under Staphylococcus aureus. RNAcentral's name for it is "partial 23S ribosomal RNA". It matches the Rfam family "Bacterial large subunit ribosomal RNA", at positions 1472 to 2215 of the family's 2925-position model. Lineage: Bacteria; Bacillati; Bacillota; Bacilli; Caryophanales; Staphylococcaceae. The record is from RNAcentral.